GCGCCUGUAGCUCAACUGGAUAGAGUAUCAGAUUCCGAUUCUGGCGGUUGCAGGUUCGACCCCUGUCAGGCGCACCA
RNAcentral lists this transfer RNA (77 nucleotides) under Catenisphaera adipataccumulans. RNAcentral describes it as "tRNA-Arg". It matches the Rfam family "tRNA". From Rfam's summary of the family: Transfer RNA (tRNA) molecules are approximately 80 nucleotides in length. Their secondary structure includes four short double-helical elements and three loops (D, anti-codon, and T loops). Further hydrogen bonds mediate the characteristic L-shaped molecular structure. tRNAs have two regions of fundamental functional importance: the anti-codon, which is responsible for specific mRNA codon recognition, and the 3' end, to which the tRNAs corresponding amino acid is attached (by aminoacyl-tRNA synthetases). tRNAs cope with the degeneracy of the genetic code in two manners: having more than one tRNA (with a specific anti-codon) for a particular amino acid; and 'wobble' base-pairing, i.e. permitting non-standard base-pairing at the 3rd anti-codon position. The record is from RNAcentral. Lineage: Bacteria; Bacillati; Bacillota; Erysipelotrichia; Erysipelotrichales; Erysipelotrichaceae.